This 497-nucleotide ribosomal RNA is filed under the name uncultured bacterium. RNAcentral describes it as "partial 16S ribosomal RNA". It matches the Rfam family "Bacterial small subunit ribosomal RNA", at positions 28 to 507 of the family's 1533-position model. The record is from RNAcentral.
GAUGAACGCUGGCGGCGUGCCUAAUACAUGCAAGUCGAGCGAACAGACGAGGAGCUUGCUCCUUUGACGUUAGCGGCGGACGGGUGAGUAACACGUAGGUAACCUACCUAUAAGACUGGGAUAACUUCGGGAAACCGGAGCUAAUACCGGAUAAUAUUUCGAACCGCAUGGUUCGAUAGUGAAAGAUGGCUUUGCUAUCACUUAUAGAUGGACCUGCGCCGUAUUAGCUAGUUGGUAAGGUAACGGCUUACCAAGGCAACGAUACGUAGCCGACCUGAGAGGGUGAUCGGCCACACUGGGACUGAGACACGGUCCAGACUCCUACGGGAGGCAGCAGUAGGGAAUCUUCCGCAAUGGGCGAAAGCCUGACGGAGCAACGCCGCGUGAGUGAUGAAGGUCUUCUGAUCGUAAAACUCUGUUAUUAGGGAAGAACAAACGUGUAAGUAACUGUGCACGUCUUGACGGUACCUAAUCAGAAAGCCACGGCUAACUACGUG